GAUGAACGCUGGCUACAGGCUUAACACAUGCAAGUCGAGGGGAAACGACGGGGAAGCUUGCUUCCUUGGGCGUCGACCGGCGCACGGGUGAGUAACGCGUAUCCAACCUGCCUCUGACUGAGGGAUAACCCGUCGAAAGUCGGCCUAAUACCUCAUGGCAUCGUCUGCGGGCAUCCAACGACGAUUAAAGAUUUCAUCGGUCAGGGAUGGGGAUGCGUCUGAUUAGCUUGUUGGCGGGGUAACGGCCCACCAAGGCUACGAUCAGUAGGGGUUCUGAGAGGAAGGUCCCCCACAUUGGAACUGAGACACGGUCCAAACUCCUACGGGAGGUAGCAGUGAGGAAUAUUGGUCAAUGGGCGAGAGCCUGAACCAGCCAAGUAGCGUGCAGGAUGACGGCCCUAUGGGUUGUAAACUGCUUUUAUGCGGGGAUAAAGUGAGGGACGUGUCCUUCAUUGCAGGUACCGCAUGAAUAAGAC
Molecule: ribosomal RNA, 476 nt
Filed under: Segatella oris
Lineage: Bacteria; Pseudomonadati; Bacteroidota; Bacteroidia; Bacteroidales; Prevotellaceae
Description: bacterial SSU rRNA
Rfam family: Bacterial small subunit ribosomal RNA
Source: RNAcentral